UGGCGAACGGGUGAGUAACACGUGGGUGAUCUGCCCUGCACUCUGGGAUAAGCCUGGGAAACUGGGUCUAAUACCGGAUAGGACCAUGCUUUAGUGUGUGUGGUGGAAAGUUUUUUCGGUGUAGGAUGAGCCCGCGGCCUAUCAGCUUGUUGGUGGGGUAAUGGCCUACCACGGCGGCGACGGGUAGCCGGACUGAGAGGUUGGUCGGCCACAUUGGGACUGAGAUACGGCCCAG
This 235-nucleotide ribosomal RNA is filed under the name uncultured Actinomycetales bacterium. RNAcentral describes it as "partial 16S ribosomal RNA". It matches the Rfam family "Bacterial small subunit ribosomal RNA", at positions 96 to 334 of the family's 1533-position model. Lineage: Bacteria; Bacillati; Actinomycetota; Actinomycetes; Actinomycetales. The record is from RNAcentral.